RNAcentral lists this long non-coding RNA (700 nucleotides) under Homarus americanus (American lobster). Its description in RNAcentral is "uncharacterized LOC121861881". The record is from RNAcentral. Lineage: Eukaryota; Metazoa; Arthropoda; Malacostraca; Decapoda; Nephropidae.
UGACGACUGCUGUCUGUGCUGUGAGCCUCAUCUUCAAUUAACAAUUACUUCUGUUAUCAUUUAAGCAUGCAGACCUACAGACAACACCUUGAUGACAUCGAAGAAAUAAGGAUGUUUAGUCAAGUUGAUGAUAUGAGGAAGCGACGAUUUAAUAUAAGACGAGAUCCUUUUCAGUAUUAUAAUGAAAAGGAAUUUAUUCAGUGCUACAGAGCAUCUAAGGACAGCACCAGGGAGCUGCUUACAAAAAUCAGACAUCAUCUCCCGCAUAUUCACAACGUCAAGACUUUGUGACAGUCUGCAGGCCGGUGGUUAUCGAGGCUUUCUCCUUGGUUAUAGUGAAUAUGCGUUGCGUCCAUACUUACUCACUCCAAUCCAUAAUCCAGCUAAUGAAAGGCAGAGGAAAUAUAACAGAUCUCAUAUUAAAACAAGAACUACAAUUGAAAGGACAUUUGGAGUGUGGAAGAGGAGAUUUGCUGUCUUGCAACAUGUAAGAGCAAAGCUGUCUACUACCAAAAAUAUUAUAAUUGCAUGUGCAGUUCAACAUAAUAUUACUUUGAUUUCUGGACUUCCACUGGACAUAGAAGACAUGCAUUAAGAAGUAAUACGGCUUUAGUUAGUUAGGUAACUACUAUGUUCCAUACAUUACUUUAAGUGGUGAACGAUUCAUGUCAUUAAAUUUUAAUAAAACAGUGGUUCUAUA